CCUACGGGGGGCAGCAGUGAGGAAUAUUGGUCAAUGGGCGGAAGCCUGAACCAGCCAAGUCGCGUGAGGGAUUAAGGCCCUGCGGGUCGUAAACCUCUUUUGCCGGGGAGCAGAGGUCCGGACGUGUCCGGGCCGGGAGAGUACCCGGAGAAAAAGCAUCGGCUAACUCCGUGCCAGCAGCCGCGGUAAUACGGGGGAUGCGAGCGUUAUCGGGAUUUAUUGGGUCUAAAGGGUGCGUAGGCGGGCAUUUAAGCCGGCGGUCAAAUGUCGGGGCUCACCCCCGGCCUGCCGUCGGAACUGGGUGGCUUGAGUGGGCGAGAGGUAUGCGGAAUGCGUGGUGUAGCGGUGAAAUGCAUAGAUAUCACGCAGAACCCCGAUUGCGAAGGCAGCAUGCCGGCGCCCUACUGACGCUGAGGCACGAAAGUGCGGGUAUCGAACAGGAUUAGAUACCCCUGUAGUC
This 460-nucleotide ribosomal RNA is filed under the name uncultured bacterium. RNAcentral describes it as "partial 16S ribosomal RNA". It matches the Rfam family "Bacterial small subunit ribosomal RNA", at positions 338 to 795 of the family's 1533-position model. The record is from RNAcentral.